RNAcentral lists this small RNA (1864 nucleotides) under Rattus norvegicus (Norway rat). RNAcentral's name for it is "uncharacterized LOC108351790". The record is from RNAcentral. Lineage: Eukaryota; Metazoa; Chordata; Mammalia; Rodentia; Muridae.
CUCUGAGUUAGCCUGUUCAUAAGCCCCAGAGGCGAUCUACAGCACAUUCCCUUUGAGACUCUGGCCUAAGGGUUGGAGGAUCAUUGUGCCUGGAGGAUAGGGCGUGGGAGGGGCUGGCAGAUUACAAACAGGCUGUGGGAUGACCUAGAAGAGCCUGGAAUGAUUUGUACAGUGAGGAUGGUGAUGUAGACAGAUGCAGUCUGAGGCUGGCAUCUUAAAUGCUUCAGGGAUAAGGUGGACACGGCACCCCAGGCAUGAACAAUCCAUCGCCAACAGUAGGGAAAGCCCCAGAAUCCAGGCAAUGGAUAUGAUCACAGAGUCAGUGAGGUUCAUAACUGUAAGGGACAAGUGGGAGACUCCUAGGAAGCACCAUUUUCAAGGUCCUCAUGGGUACAUCUGUACCUCAGACUAUGAGAAUCACAACUCUGCACCUAGUUGGGGGUGGAACGAACAUGUGUUAUAAGCUUUUGGAAUCCCCCAGUCCCAGCUGGUGAGCUCACCUCCCACAUCUGCCGGCUUCAUCUUCAGAUUCCACGUGGCUGGCUCAGAGCAAUAUGGGCUCCUCUCCUCCCAGACUCCAGAUCCGUAGAAAAAGGCACCAAUCGUUUUUCCAGUCAACUUGGGGCUCCUUCUGUUGGACAGCCCUACUCCCGUGUUAUCUGCAAGCCAAUCGAUUGGGGCUCCUUCUGAUUGGACAGCCCUACUCCCGUGUUACCUGUAAGCCAAUCGAUUGGGACUCCUUCUGAUUGGACAGCCCUACUCCCCUGUUAUCUGCAAGCCAAUCGAUUCAGCAUUCGAUGAAGAUAUUUGCAUGCAGCUUCAUCUGGAAGGGUAGGGUUGGAUGGACACAAUUCUCAGAUGAAACCUGCAACUGUUUUAAGGAAAGGAGAAAGGGGAAGCUAACAGAGCCUCUGUGGCUUCCACUACGGGGUGUGGUGGUUUGAAUGAGAAAGUCUCCCAUAGGCUCAAAUAAUUGAAUGUUUGGUCUCCAGUUAGUGGAACUGUUUUGGAAGGAUUAGGAGGUGUAGUAGUUUGCUGCGUCUCUGGAGCUGGGCUUAGAGGUUUCAAAAGACCAGGCCCACCCGGUUUCUUUCUCUCUCUCUGCAACUUAUGGAUCAAUGUGAGCUCUCAGCUACUGCUCCAGUGCAUGCCAGCCUGGCUGCCACCGUGCUCCCCACCAUGAUGACAAUGGGCUAACCCUCUAAAACUGUAAACAAACCCCUGAUUGAAUGCUUUCUUUUAGAAGUAGCUUUGGUCAUGGUGUCUCCUUUCAGCAAUUAAACAGUAACUAAGACACUGGGUGGUUUGGAAAAGUAUGAAAAGUGGAGUUUACUUUAAAAAAAGGCAACUUGACUGAACAAGCCAGUAAUCUCAGCUCCUUGGGAGGCUGAGGCAGGAGACUUGUAAGUUCAAGGCUUGCCUGGCUUAUGGAAGAAGUUUGACUCAAGCCUUGGCAAAUUAGGGAAGUCCUAUCUUAAACAAACAAACAAACAACAAACAAACAAACAACCAAACACCAUCCAUGAGACCUGCAUAAGAACCUGCAUAAGAUCAGUCCAGACAAAGUCCAGGCAUAAGUAGGGGAGAGAGUCACAAAGUCCUUCCCCUGGCUGAAGAACUAUUGGCAAUCUGUGGGUACUGGGCAUAGAGACUCAGAUUUCUUCAGGGAUUGGCCCCUGAAAGGCUAUCUGUGCUAUGGUAGAUGGUAAUACCUCUAUGUACACAUUAAGUGGAUACUGUGUGUCACACACACACACACACACACACACACACACACACACACACACGCCAGGUGUGGCAGUGUGUGACUUUAUCCCAACACUGUAGGUAGAGGCAGGCAGAUUUCUGUGAGUUGUAGGCCAGC